CCGCAAUCAAACGGGCAUCCAGACUCGCUCCCAGACAAAAUGACUCAUAAAGUCCAUCCCAACCAGUCCACGCUACCCUUGAGACGCUCUGUUGACCUGCACCACUCUGCAUUUGUUUGCUAGCUCCGAACCUUGCCAAGCUUAUCGAUUUCCCGGCUACUGCUGAUUUUU
Long non-coding RNA from Bufo bufo (common toad), 171 nucleotides. RefSeq lists it as uncharacterized. NCBI's taxonomy places the organism in Eukaryota, Metazoa, Chordata, Amphibia, Anura, Bufonidae. The transcript has 3 exons. The record is from RefSeq and is a predicted model, not a curated record.